UAUAGCAGAAAGCCUCAAUGUUCAGCUGAGAUGGGAGGUGGGGUUCAGAUCCACAUAGGGGUUGUCCAGGCCAGGAUUUUUUUCAGCCUUCCUCCCUGGAGCAUCUGGUACUGCUUACGACCAGAAGCACAACCAGAGGCACAAGAGCUGUGAGCCAUGCUGAAAAUGUGUGCAGAUGUGAGGCCAACAGCAGCAGCAGAAAGGCUUUGUCAACACCAGCAAAUCACUGAUUCUACCUCUGCAAGGUCAGCUUCUGAAGGCAACGUGUCUAAGAGCACAGCUCCACAACCGACCUAAAGGAGUGCUGAACCCGUGUGCUUCACAGUGGUUAACCAGGAAGAGGAGGAAGGAUUGUCCUGUUGCUGAUGAGGGCUUUUAGUAAAUACUUCUCUAGUCCUGGCUCUUCUGUUGGACUCCUGAGAUUUGUUAUCUUUGAGUCCUUUCUUGUCAAGGUGGAAAACUUCUCCAAGCCAUGCUGCGUUGCAGUUGUAGUUGGAAACUCAAAGAGAGUAGUCUGAAAGGAUUAGAAGAUUCAUGGGAAUGGAAGCUUUCAGAAGGAGGAAGGGUCAGGUCUGUCUUGGAGAACUCAUCCCCACAGAAGCAAGAGGGAGGCUGUGCCAGUAACUCCUGUGGGAGGCCUAGCUGGGACGCCAUCAUUGGCACUACCCCUGUUCCCUGGCAGGAUUUCAGCCCAUUUCAAGGACUAGCUCAGCUCCUGCCUCUAGAGCCUUGGUCUGCUUGGAAACUCAGACAUCAGUAAGGCAGCUAAGUUUAUAUAUUGAAUCAUAUGAAGUAUGGAUUAUACAGAACAGCCCACUUCUAGUUUUGAGUGAAAGGAGGUCAACAUUUUACAGGACUUCACAGGGCAGAACCCUAAGUACUGCAAGAGUUCCUGACACCAGUGAAUGAGUCCAUGUAACAGAUCAUAAACACAUCACCAAGUCAUGAUUUUGGAACAUCACUUCCUGCUGAUACCUAAAUAUUAAUUGGCUUGAGAUGGAAUUAUCCUGGGCUUAAGGACGUAUUGAGAGAAGAAUCGAGACAUGGGAUGCAGCUGAGCAAAGCUAGAUACAAAUAGUGUAAGCAGUGAUAACUGAACUAGUCACCAUAGCACAAGGUACUAAGAGGUCUCAAUUCACAUUCUCCUAAAUGUCUGAAAUAGUUAGGAUGAACCAGAGCCUCCUGUUUCUUCCAAUCAGCGACUAGGGGGAUGUGAAUGAGCAGCUGAUGUGCAGCUCUCUGCCGCCAGGCAUGGUGAGGUGAGCUCUGUUCUCAGUGCCUGCUGAAAAGGACUGAGUGCCCUCCCCUCGGCAAAGCAUGGUGGAGGAGAAAGAGGGUCUGAGCAAACAUUUAGUGCUGCAGAGGUCAGUGCUUUAGUCUGGGUUGCUACAAGCAGAAUUCUUUUGUUGGUCAAGAAUAUUAAAUAAAAAUGGUAUGUAAAGGAUCAUCAAUUAUUAUUGAUAAUAAGCAUCAAGACUAUCAGAGGUACUCCAUAGAGAAAUAAGUCACAAAAAGAACAUAGAAGCAGCUUAGUACUGCAACAUCAGAACCCCAGACUGUACUCAUAACAGUCUUUAAUCACCACCUUCACCAUGUCCAUUUGUAACUCGUACUUGUUGAAACAUUAUGCUUGCCUUUUGCUUACGGCCUGGUUUUGUGAAGUGCUGAGCAUCCUCAUCUCACAUCAACAUCAACACGUUGUAGACUUUUACCUAGGGAGAGAUGAAAUAUAGCACAUAAUGCUUCAUAUUGCAUAGGUGUGGAAGGCUGUGAAUCAAGGAAACAAUUACUUUUAAAUAAAUGAUGUGCAAAUAGAAAAGUGAUAACGUAAUGCAUGAUUUGAGAGCGAAAGGCCAGCUCCUGUAAAUUCCUUUCAGUAACAGUAAAGAGUGGUGACACUAACAGUGCUGUUCCACGGAGUCUAUUGGCAUUUCCACUAUAUAAUGUGGAUUGCUGGAGAUGGUAUGUCUGCCAGUUCAAGUCAUACUGAGCUGCAAUUUAAUGUGGAAAAAAAAAAGAAUUUUUAAAUUGCUGAAAUGAUGGAAUUUCUCUCUUCACUCCAUGCAUCACAAACAAAACAGAAUUUAAAUUUUAUGUUAUGAACCAUUUGCCAACUCUCAUAUCAUUAACACCUUCCUUUUAUAUGAAUGGAUAAUAGGAAGGAAGAUGAAGAUAAGCUAGCUCAACAUUUAAAAGAUUUGCUCAACACGGACAGUCCUUCCUUUCCGUAAGAUUUUUUGAUACAAAAUGAGAAAUACAUUACAAGCCUGAUUUAACCAUCAUUUUAACAAAAAAACAGUACAGACAAUCUGUAACGAAUGCUUAAGCAUAUCCUUCAAAAAAGAGGUGUCAUGAAAAACACUAGAAGUUAAAUUUACUUGCACCAAAGCUUAUGCUAGCAUUUCCAUUGACUCCAGACGGAGGAGGACUUAGUUCCUGGGAAGUUCAGUUCAAAGAUGGUUGUCUUUCUAUCUGUGAGUCUGGGAGUAUGGGCUCUAUGGCCUUCCACAUGAAUGCUAAGGGGAAUUAAGUGCUACAAAUCCCUGCUUCUGAAAUGAUAAGAAUGUGGAAAUAAAUUACAGUUAAUAUGAGUUUUAGAGUCCCACCAAAAUCUCUGGAUUACCACAUCUGCAGUCCUACUAAAGGUAAAUCUUCACAAGUUCUUGUUAAAUCUGUGACUUAAAGAAGCAGCUCAGGACCUGUUUCAGUAUUUGUUAUCAGGUUUUUCAAAUAUUUCAGUUACACUUACUAGCUGUAGAAACUCUUUGUUUCGGCUGUUGACAGAAUUUUCCAAAUUCACUGUUUGUGAUCUAGAACUAAAGACUGAUUUAUCCAGGAAUUUUUAAAUAAAUUGGUUCAAACUGUUUCUGUCAAUUUGUAGUCCUGUAGGAGCUUCCCAGAGUUGAUUCUGGCUUGGCCUCCAUUUCUAAAUUCUCUGAUGUUUAAAGAUAGUGGCAAGGUAUUUUGGCCACGCAUUUCUAUAAUGUAAGAAAGUCAGAAGUAAGCAAAUUUCUGUUUCUUUUUCCUCUCUUCUUUAUUCACAUUUUCUCAUUGCUUGAGAUGUCUAUACUUUAUACAGUUUUGAAUAUACAGUUGCCCACUUUUGAGCCACUGUAAGGUGGAAUUCAGCAUGCUGUACGUUGUAUGGGUCGGAGGAGAGUUGGGGGGGUGAGGGGAAUAGGUGUGCUGCUGACAUGCUGUCUGCUCAAAAGAUGCUUGAACCCUGCUGUCCUGAGCACAGGAGCACUCAUGGAAUUGGAGGAAUGUUCCUUGCUCUCAUCCCCAGCAAACAGCAGGACUGAAAACCCUCUCCAUAGGCUUCUCCCAAAGACAUGCACCACUGCUCCUGCAGGCUUGUACCACUCUUCCCAUUCUGCUCCUGAUCUACAUAAAUCCCUGCCCCAAACAAAAUCAACAAUGCUCCCCACCCAGAUCUUUUAAAUUCCUGAGCAACUUUGUAGUCACCUUGUUUAGGGCAGAAACAUGUGCUGAACUGUUUCUUACAGCUCAGAAGAGAUGUGCGGUGGUUAAUCCUACCAUUUUCAACAAGGCUGAACUCAGCUUAUAACAAAACAAUCAGCAAAAAUGUAACAACUUCACAACUGUGUAUGUGUGCGUGUAUAGUAUGUGGAAAGGAAUUUGCAAAAGAAUUGAUCAUCUUCCCAUGAAGUUCCAGUAGGAUCCACAAUCAGGAUGAGGAUUCAGUUUAAACCAUUUGUGAGUUUCACAUAGGAAAAAGUGUGUAGUUCUUAGCCAUUUAUUCUGUUGGAACUGUAGAUUCUUGGUGCCCCUAUGGUUUCUUUUUCAGACAUCAAGCCCCACUAUUUUGGUUCAGAGCUAACCCAUUCUGAGCACCAGACUGGGAGCCAGGGAGGCCACAGUAGUUGUGAAGUUUAGACAGUCAGCCACACACAUCUUUUGGGCUGGAACCAGCCUCCACCUGGCCAGUUUCACAGACUAGCCUGGAUUAGCAAGCCUUUGCCUUCCUGAGACCAUGGCAUUUGGAAUGGUUGAAUUACCUAGGGAGGUAUCUCUACUGAUACUUUGCAUAAAAUAGUGCUUGAGUGUGUCAUAUAUGUCUACCCCAAAUUAUGCUGAUGUUGAUGAUCUUAAUAAGACAGCAUUUUAUGCUCUGAAAGGGUUUGUGCAUGAUUCAUUCCGUGGUCACUUGGAGGUAGGAGUUCUGUGAUGCAGUAUGGUCAGCAGCAGGCAUGUUGGGCAAGGAAAGGGAACGGUUAGGAGGCACUCCAUAACCUGACAUCUUCUUAAAGAGUUUAUGUUAAGGUGAGUUAUCACACAUAGCCAACUCUAAUCCCUUCUAAAUGAAGGUUCUGUUUAUAGAAUAUCCAGGUCAGGAUUAUAAAUCUCUGAACAAAUCACCAGGUAUAAUUAAAAGGAAUAAUGCCGAUUAUAUUUUCCAGUCGAUCUCUGUACUCCUUGAACUUCUUACGGAUAAAUACAGAUAGUAUCUCUGUGAACUAAUAGUAACUUGUUUAUUAGUGCACCUUUGUUUUUACCGCUAGCUUGAAAUACAUACCAGUAUUAAACAUUGUAUAUAGCAUAACAAACUGGUUAAUUCUUUCAGUUUUGCAAUGCUGUGUUCAAUUGAACUUUAGAAGUAUUUCCAAAGAAAUUUCCAACCUUUAUUUAUUCUUUGUAUAUAAAUUUGCUUUGCCUUUUUCAUGCCAUUUUUGUGGUCAAUUUGUAGCAGUCAUCUUCAGUUCACCAAUGAGAAUUUCGUAGGAACGGAGGGGUUUCUCAACAAGUCAUGGAAUUUUUGAAUAACAGAAUCUAUGUAAUCUUUGUCAUAUUACUUUGCAACAAAAACCUGAUUCUGAGAGAGAAGAAAAGACAACAAAACAGAAUGGAAUAUCACGUGACCUAAUCUUCCUUUUAAAGAGGUAGCACGUUCAUUUUAAAUUGAAUAUUUGUUAACGACUCCUUGUAAGGAAUUCAGGAAAUGACUAAGAUAACUUUAAAAAGCAAAGCUCUACUGACAGGGAAAAAAAAAUGAAAAAAGACAUUAUAUCUUAGUAGGAUUAACAGGAACAUCUAUGUAUUCUAUCAGUAAAGCCAAUUACUGUAGUCAGUACAGUCGGUACUUGACUAGUAGAUAUUUGGCAUAGUUAAAGGUGGCUUGUAAAGAGUAAGACUAGUACAGAAAUGUUCAAUCCUUUCAAUUAGAGCAUUUUAUCAAAUGCAGUAAACCAGUGUAUAGCUUUACUCUGAGAAAAAGGCCAAGAUGGAAAAAGGAUAAUUAUGCUUUUCAGGUAAAUAACAUUUUCCUGACAGGAGUCCAAGUUAAAAAAAA
Non-coding RNA from Meleagris gallopavo (turkey), 5311 nucleotides. Lineage: Eukaryota; Metazoa; Chordata; Aves; Galliformes; Phasianidae. The record is from RefSeq and is a predicted model, not a curated record.